RNAcentral lists this ribosomal RNA (1014 nucleotides) under uncultured bacterium. RNAcentral's name for it is "bacterial SSU rRNA". The stretch from base 1 to 663 matches the Rfam family "Bacterial small subunit ribosomal RNA". The record is from RNAcentral.
UCGAGCGAAUGGAUUAAGAGCUUGCUCUUAUGAAGUUAGCGGCGGACGGGUGAGUAACACGUGGGUAACCUGCCCAUAAGACUGGGAUAACUCCGGGAAACCGGGGCUAAUACCGGAUAACAUUUUGAACCGCAUGGUUCGAAAUUGAAAGGCGGCUUCGGCUGUCACUUAUGGAUGGACCCGCGUCGCAUUAGCUAGUUGGUGAGGUAACGGCUCACCAAGGCAACGAUGCGUAGCCGACCUGAGAGGGUGAUCGGCCACACUGGGACUGAGACACGGCCCAGACUCCUACGGGAGGCAGCAGUAGGGAAUCUUCCGCAAUGGACGAAAGUCUGACGGAGCAACGCCGCGUGAGUGAUGAAGGCCUUCGGGUCGUAAAACUCUGUUGUUAGGGAAGAACAAGUGCUAGUUGAAUAAGCUGGCACCUUGACGGUACCUAACCAGAAAGCCACGGCUAACUACGUGCCCGCAGCCGCUGUAAUACGUAGGUGGCAAGCGCAAUCCGGAAUUAGUGAGCGUAAAGCGCGCGCCGGUGGAGUCUUAACUCUGAUGCGAAAUCCCACGGCACAACCGAGGAAGGACCAUGCGAACAGGCAGACUUCAUUUGCCCAAGAAGCAAUAAAUAAGCCCAUGUUGCAGAGCGUUAAUUCGAUAAGCUCUUGUCCCUAGGUUCCCAAGCUUUCUUCAAUGAUCGAUCUCUUCGAGUUCCGCAACCUGGGACGGAAUUCUCUCAUCAGGGACUUCUUAGGAGUUUUCCCAAGCCGGUUUCCGCACAUCUGAAAACUUGCCGUCAAUAGCAAUUCUUCCCUGGAUUCUAGACCCCCUGUUUGACUUAUAUCGGAAUAACCGUGCUUCCGUUCAUUUUAAUCGUUUUACUAGAUGAACAUGUUGCGAGGCUAUGUAUUGCAUUAGGCUGACACAUCAUAGUCACGGUAAUGAUCCGAUGUAUAAUCCUUCGGUAAAGUGUACCAUUCGACCUUCCUGUUAGGCAUUGAACCUGCUUGUUAGUUGGUA